UAAUGUAUGGGGAUCUGCCCGAUAGAGGGGGAUAACUACUGGAAACGGUGGCUAAUACCGCAUAAUGCCUACGGACCAAAGCAGGGGCUCUUCGGACCUUGCACUAUCGGAUGAACCCAUAUGGGAUUAGCUAGUAGGUGGGGUAAAGGCUCACCAGGCGACGAUCUCUAGCUGGUCUGAGAGGAUGAUCAGCCACACUGGGACUGAGACACGGCCCAG
This 219-nucleotide ribosomal RNA is filed under the name uncultured bacterium. RNAcentral's name for it is "partial 16S ribosomal RNA". It matches the Rfam family "Bacterial small subunit ribosomal RNA", at positions 111 to 334 of the family's 1533-position model. The record is from RNAcentral.